UCUGACCCCCUUCUCUGGCUGGGCGUGAGAGGGUCCGAAUUCCUCAAAGAUGGAAGCGGCGGCUGAGGGAAGGGUGUCUGCGCGGCGACCAUGGGGCGUCCUCCUCAGACAGCUCGUGCGUGGUGUGGAAGGAGCCCCUCGUCCUCCUCGCCCUUUCUGCCCGGGCCUGUAGGGAGCGGCGCUUUCAGAGAGACCGCUCUGGUUUCCUCGCCAAGCCUCGAGUAUCCAGGCUUUGUUUAGGUCCAAAGGGGCCUCCAUUUUCCGUCUUGCAAGUAACCCUGCAGCUUUAGUGAGUAGUUCUGGGCUCACUAUUUCCGGUCUUGUCAGAAGAUGGCUUCGCUUUCAGUGGGCUGGCUCAAGUGCCUUGACUUUGUCACCGAUGCAUAAAGUUUUUGAGCUGCGUCUGUCAUUUUUCUGUGUUGACUGUGUUUUCUUAUAUUGGAAACUUUCCUGACCGAGGGUUGGGUGGGGACCUCGAGUAAAACCACCCAUCUGCCUAGUUGGAGAGAGCCUGCCUCUGGGCUGAGCUAAGGAUGGCAGCAUCCCCCAGGGCCCUCCCAGCCUUGGCUGGCCAGGCUUCCGAGGAACCAGGGGAGAUUAUCCAAGUAAAGGUUAAAGAAGAAGGCUAUAUUUGGGACCGGGAAUCCCAGGCUCCAGGAGGCGCUGGGCCAACUCCGGGAACUUUGCCAUCGGUGGUUGAGCCCAGAGAGACACACCAAGGAGCAGAGCCUGGAAUUGGUGCUGGAACAGCUGCUGACCUUCCUGCCUGAGGAGCUCCAGGCUUGGCUCCGGAGCAUCAUCCUGAAAGUGGAGAGGAGGUGGUGACUGUGCUGGAAGAUUUGGAGAGAGACAGCUUGACGAACCUAGACAGCAGGUGUUAACCAGCAUCAGGACAUCCAUGGCUUCCCUCAUCAAAUUAUACGUAGGAAAUGUUUCCCCAGACGUGCUCUUCUGACUGAACCUGGUAACUAAACUCUGCUUCUCCUACAAGAAUGGAUGACUCUGGAGGACUGAACCAAGAGGCGCUCUCCAAAUGGACUCUGACUGCAGCAGAGCAUCCUGGACAUUCAUUCAGCAUGGCAGCUGGGUGCUGGAAGAGAGAAUUCCAAGAGGACCAGCCCCGAAACACAGACUCUUACAGCACAUAACUGCAGGCUAAUCGUG
Vicugna pacos (alpaca) is the source of this 1164-nucleotide non-coding RNA. The record is from RefSeq and is a predicted model, not a curated record. NCBI's taxonomy places the organism in Eukaryota, Metazoa, Chordata, Mammalia, Artiodactyla, Camelidae.